RNAcentral lists this ribosomal RNA (1237 nucleotides) under Vibrio mediterranei. RNAcentral describes it as "bacterial SSU rRNA". It matches the Rfam family "Bacterial small subunit ribosomal RNA", at positions 62 to 1289 of the family's 1533-position model. The record is from RNAcentral. Lineage: Bacteria; Pseudomonadati; Pseudomonadota; Gammaproteobacteria; Vibrionales; Vibrionaceae.
ACGAGUUAACUGAACCUUCGGGGAACGUUAACGGCGUCGAGCGGCGGACGGGUGAGUAAUGCCUGGGAAAUUGCCCUGAUGUGGGGGAUAACCAUUGGAAACGAUGGCUAAUACCGCAUAAUAGCUUCGGCUCAAAGAGGGGGACCUUCGGGCCUCUCGCGUCAGGAUAUGCCCAGGUGGGAUUAGCUAGUUGGUGAGGUAAUGGCUCACCAAGGCGACGAUCCCUAGCUGGUCUGAGAGGAUGAUCAGCCACACUGGAACUGAGACACGGUCCAGACUCCUACGGGAGGCAGCAGUGGGGAAUAUUGCACAAUGGGCGCAAGCCUGAUGCAGCCAUGCCGCGUGUAUGAAGAAGGCCUUCGGGUUGUAAAGUACUUUCAGCAGUGAGGAAGGUGGGUAUGUUAAUAGCAUAUUCAUUUGACGUUAGCUGCAGAAGAAGCACCGGCUAACUCCGUGCCAGCAGCCGCGGUAAUACGGAGGGUGCGAGCGUUAAUCGGAAUUACUGGGCGUAAAGCGCAUGCAGGUGGUUUGUUAAGUCAGAUGUGAAAGCCCGGGGCUCAACCUCGGAAUUGCAUUUGAAACUGGCAAACUAGAGUACUGUAGAGGGGGGUAGAAUUUCAGGUGUAGCGGUGAAAUGCGUAGAGAUCUGAAGGAAUACCGGUGGCGAAGGCGGCCCCCUGGACAGAUACUGACACUCAGAUGCGAAAGCGUGGGGAGCAAACAGGAUUAGAUACCCUGGUAGUCCACGCCGUAAACGAUGUCUACUUGGAGGUUGUGGCCUUGAGCCGUGGCUUUCGGAGCUAACGCGUUAAGUAGACCGCCUGGGGAGUACGGUCGCAAGAUUAAAACUCAAAUGAAUUGACGGGGGCCCGCACAAGCGGUGGAGCAUGUGGUUUAAUUCGAUGCAACGCGAAGAACCUUACCUACUCUUGACAUCUACAGAAGCCAGCGGAGACGCAGGUGUGCCUUCGGGAACUGUAAGACAGGUGCUGCAUGGCUGUCGUCAGCUCGUGUUGUGAAAUGUUGGGUUAAGUCCCGCAACGAGCGCAACCCUUAUCCUUGUUUGCCAGCACUUCGGGUGGGAACUCCAGGGAGACUGCCGGUGAUAAACCGGAGGAAGGUGGGGACGACGUCAAGUCAUCAUGGCCCUUACGAGUAGGGCUACACACGUGCUACAAUGGCGCAUACAGAGGGCGGCCAACUUGCGAAAGUGAGCGAAUCCCAAAAAGUGCGUCGU